GUUUUAUUUCCAGACAAAACUGAAGACCAGGAACUGGAACCUGGGAACCUGGAAGAUGAUGUUGUCCUGAAGGACACAAUUCAGGCAGCAGCAUGGUGCCAGUUACAGUCUUUCAAGGACAGCGUUUCUCUCCCAGAGGUCAUUGGGAUGGAAGGUUGGGAGCAGAUGGCAGCAUCAACACAGCGCAAAUCCCAUGACGGCGGGGAUGAGGAAGAAACGUGGAAACCAUUCCAAUUCUCAUUCAGAUUACAUACUGACUAUGAACUGUUCUGUGUGGAGAUGAUGGACAGGAGAAACCUGAAGGUGUUUGCCUCUUUUGAGUCAAACACCUCUCCCCGUACCCCCUCCCCGUCCCCCUCCCCGUGACGCCUGCGCCACACGACUCCAAUGUAGUCUGAUGAUGCAGCAUAAUGGCGGCGCUUGGCAGCGGUGACGGCGAUGUCGGGCGACAGAGCGUGAAGCGAGAGUGGCGUCCACCUCACUGAGGAAGGCGUCAGUGUGUUCCCCCCCCCCCCCCGUUGAGACUUUGUUUGUUCUACUCUUUAUUGAUUUAUCUUUUAUGUUAAUAGUUUACAAUCUAUUUUUUGUAGUUGUUAUUUUUUAAUUGUUUUGUUGAAUAAAAAGACUGUUGUUAGUG
Molecule: long non-coding RNA, 637 nt
Organism: Gadus macrocephalus (Pacific cod)
Lineage: Eukaryota; Metazoa; Chordata; Actinopteri; Gadiformes; Gadidae
Exons: 2
Source: RefSeq, a predicted model, not a curated record